CAGGGUAUCGAGUGAUUAAUACCUCUGGUAUCUUUCGCCUCACUUUGAUAUGUAACAUUUCAGUGGUAAAGAAGGAAUACAAGCCCGACACACUAAACUCCUAAACAAACAAUUGACAAAUUAAGGAAUUCAAUCUAGGCAGCCACCUGCGAACAACAAUGGCUGGUGUGUCUACUAAGUGUGGAGAACAAGCUUCAGAUAUUUCAUCUGAAGAAGAAAAUUAU
Mytilus trossulus (common blue mussel) is the source of this 224-nucleotide long non-coding RNA. RefSeq lists it as uncharacterized. The transcript is spliced from 3 exons. NCBI's taxonomy places the organism in Eukaryota, Metazoa, Mollusca, Bivalvia, Mytilida, Mytilidae. The record is from RefSeq and is a predicted model, not a curated record.